GUUUUGUCGAGGAAAAUUGUUUUGAGAUAACGAAGUGCUGUCUGAGUUCGGAAUCACCACCUAAUCAGGUGUUGAUAUGAAGUGACAUUACACUGAGAGAUUUAAAGAGAUGUAGAUCACUAGUGUAAAUAAUUGUACCUCUUCGCCAAAGGGGAAGGAGCUGACGCGGUAGCAGCGCAUCACAUACAUACACUCGAUUCAGCAUUUUGAGAUCUAUGGGAUUGUACUCUGAUUUUAUUAUUGUUCGAUGUAAUGAUUUUGAGACAUGUUUAUUAUGGUUUGAGUAAAUUACACAAAUAGUCCCUAAGGUUUAGGUAAUUUACACGUUUGGUCCCCAACUUAGUUUUUUAACUCGGAACUUCCCUACUGUUUCUUUUUGUUACGCUUUUGGUCCCUGUCUUACCUAAAAAGAUUAUUUUGCCCAUGAUUUUUUAAUUUAUUUAAAUAACACACCCCCAACCCCACCCUUCAUCUUACCAUACCUACCUCAUCAUUUUUCCCUAUUUAAAUAAUAGUCUUUUUAUGUAAGAUAGGGAGCAAGCGCGUAACAAAAACAACCUGUAGGGACCAAGUGUGUAAUAAAAACAAACAGUAGGGACCUUCCGAAUUAAAAAAAUAAGUUAGGGACCAAACGUGCAAAUUACCCAAACCAUAGGGACCAUUCGUGUAAUUUACUCCUAUGGUUUUAUGGAUUAUUAUGAU
Molecule: non-coding RNA, 702 nt
Organism: Lactuca sativa (garden lettuce)
Lineage: Eukaryota; Viridiplantae; Streptophyta; Magnoliopsida; Asterales; Asteraceae
Source: RefSeq, a predicted model, not a curated record